Zootermopsis nevadensis is the source of this 269-nucleotide non-coding RNA. The record is from RefSeq and is a predicted model, not a curated record. Lineage: Eukaryota; Metazoa; Arthropoda; Insecta; Blattodea; Termopsidae.
GAGAAGUGCAACAUGAUUGUGUCCACAUUCCCAUGCUGGUGGUUUCAGUCUCAGCAGCAAUUGGACUCGGUGUGUCUGCCACAGCUGCAGAUGUUUGUUGCUCAGUUGAAAACCAUUGCUCAGUGUUUAGAUGUCACAUCUCCAGCAGGCAGGGAGGCCAUGGAGCAUGUGACAAAGAUCCGACAGACACUGCAAUCAUAGUGACAAUGUUUUAUUUGUAAUGUAACUUAUUGUGGUGAUGUGUUAAUAUAUUCGUAUUGAUCAUGUGA